RNAcentral lists this long non-coding RNA (640 nucleotides) under Actinidia chinensis (golden kiwifruit). RNAcentral describes it as "long non-coding RNA (ACHI_LNC002471)". Lineage: Eukaryota; Viridiplantae; Streptophyta; Magnoliopsida; Ericales; Actinidiaceae. The record is from RNAcentral.
UUAACUAGACGAUGUGGGAUUGAAUUGUAGCACCUCAACAAAAAUGUUCACUUCACCCUUUUCCCGAAGCCUCUAGGAUUGUCAAAUUAUUGCCCGAAGGCCUCCUAUUAGAGUAACUGGAUUGCUGGACUCCCUGGCGUACUGAACUAGGUGCAAGUUUACAAUAUAAAUCUAAGCGCACACAAUAUAAAAAAUCUGUCAACAAAAUUUGCUGUUAUUUUGCCACUCCUUUGUUGCGGAUCCACAGAUCCAAAUUUUUUCAUUCGGGAUGUGAGAAUUUGUGAUGACAUUUUAUUUUUCUUGUAAAUCUCUCUGUUACCUUUUUUCUUGUUCUUUUCCUUUUCUUCUCUUCUCCUCGUACAUUUGUCUUUUUUGUUCAGUUACUAGUUAUUAUUUGUUGUUCGGAAGUAAGGGGACAGGACGAUGGGGUUUCUUUCUUGUGCUACCAAUCAAAAGACAUACAGAAGUCAUGGAAACAAUUGAAUUCAUUUGGUUACUUAUGUUGCAAUCAUGAUACUGGUACAGGUGGAUAUGUAGUGGUGAAUGAUAACUGCCAAAUUAUGUUGUUCCAGAGUUGACUGACUUCAAGGUACUCAUUUGCCAUCUCAAAUGAUAGGUUUUCUUUCUUUUCUUCUUCCUU